Molecule: ribosomal RNA, 497 nt
Filed under: uncultured bacterium
Lineage: Bacteria
Description: partial 16S ribosomal RNA
Rfam family: Bacterial small subunit ribosomal RNA
Source: RNAcentral
GAUGAACGCUGGCGGCGUGCCUAAUACAUGCAAGUCGAGCGAACAGACGAGGAGCUUGCUCCUCUGACGUUAGCGGCGGACAGGUGAGUAACACGUGGAUAACCUACCUAUAAGACUGGGAUAACUUCGGGAAACCGGAGCUAAUACCGGAUAAUAUAUUGAACCGCAUGGUUCAAUAGUGAAAGACGGUUUUGCUGUCACUUAUAGAUGGAUCCGCGCCGCAUUAGCUAGUUGGUAAGGUAACGGCUUACCAAGGCGACGAUGCGUAGCCGACCUGAGAGGGUGAUCGGCCACACUGGAACUGAGACACGGUCCAGACUCCUACGGGAGGCAGCAGUAGGGAAUCUUCCGCAAUGGGCGAAAGCCUGACGGAGCAACGCCGCGUGAGUGAUGAAGGUCUUCGGAUCGUAAAACUCUGUUAUUAGGGAAGAACAAAUGUGUAAGUAACUAUGCACGUCUUGACGGUACCUAAUCAGAAAGCCACGGCUAACUACGUG